Long non-coding RNA from Myotis brandtii (Brandt's bat), 830 nucleotides. RefSeq lists it as uncharacterized. The transcript is spliced from 3 exons. Lineage: Eukaryota; Metazoa; Chordata; Mammalia; Chiroptera; Vespertilionidae. The record is from RefSeq and is a predicted model, not a curated record.
UAAUAUUUAGACGGUCUUUGAACAGGAGUAAUCUCUUACGGGCAGCUUGCUGAUUUCCCAAGUGCUCUGUGGGUGAGCCGUUCAGUUGACAAGCUGGGAUACACGUGCACACUGUGCACAGACUCCCUGACGGCUGAGGGUGCAGCUCCCGUGGGCUCAGGCUGUUCUGAGGUGGCCGCGUGGUCGGCCUUGUGCCCCCCCAGGCGAGUGACUGGACACGUGAGGCACGAGGGCCCUGUCCCUGCGGCAGCCGCGGCAGGGCUUGCUCUGAUGUGUCAGAAGUGGGAGAAGCUCAAGGGGUUGGGAUAGUCUUGCUGAUCUCAGUUAUUCAGCAAAUUUCAGUAAAUUCCAUGCGCCAGGCCCUCUUCCAGAUGCUACAGAAAUAGCCAAUAAAAACCUCUUUUGAAAAUUUAAUUUUCUUCUUCUCAGCAAAUACUACUUGUGACGGAGAUAAAGAAUCAGAGAUUGAAGAUGUUGAAACAGACAGUGGUAACUCACCUGAAGAUUUGAGGAAGGAAAUAAUGAUUGGUUUACAAUAUCAGGCUGAGAUCCCCCCGUAUCUGGGAGAGUAUGAGGAUGAUGAGAACGCGUCUGAAGAUGGAGACCAGCUCCUUUGGCGUCCCGGUGUGGUGGCGGAGAGCAAAGUGAAGGAGUACCUUGUCGAGGCCGCGUUCAGAACUGGAAAUGAGAAAAUGGUGGACAGGGUUUCGGCCGGAGCACUCACCAGGGACAAUGAGCAGGUGGGCACCUCAGCUUCUGUGGAAGCAGCAGCCAGCAUCUUCUCGAUUGGCUUCAUUUAAGCAAGUAUUUCUCACAUGUCACCUGGACAU